RNAcentral lists this ribosomal RNA (446 nucleotides) under uncultured organism. RNAcentral's name for it is "partial 16S ribosomal RNA". It matches the Rfam family "Bacterial small subunit ribosomal RNA", at positions 335 to 797 of the family's 1533-position model. The record is from RNAcentral.
ACUCCUACGGGAGGCAGCAGUGGGGAAUAUUGGACAAUGGGCGCAAGCCUGAUCCAGCCAUGCCGCGUGAGUGAUGAAGGCCCUAGGGUUGUAAAGCUCUUUCACCGGUGAAGAUAAUGACGGUAACCGGAGAAGAAGCCCCGGCUAACUUCGUGCCAGCAGCCGCGGUAAUACGAAGGGGGCUAGCGUUGUUCGGAUUUACUGGGCGUAAAGCGCACGUAGGCGGACUAUUAAGUCAGGGGUGAAAUCCCGGGGCUCAACCCCGGAACUGCCUUUGAUACUGGUAGUCUUGAGUUCGAGAGAGGUGAGUGGAAUUCCGAGUGUAGAGGUGAAAUUCGUAGAUAUUCGGAGGAACACCAGUGGCGAAGGCGGCUCACUGGCUCGAUACUGACGCUGAGGUGCGAAAGCGUGGGGAGCAAACAGGAUUAGAAACCCUGGUAGUCCCA